This is a regulatory RNA element of 118 nucleotides. It matches the Rfam family "ALIL pseudoknot". The record is from Rfam.
CGCGUUUUUCGCAGCGGAGCUCGACCGCCCCGCGACGAAAUGAUCGCCUUCAUCGAUGCGCAUCGCGAUCAGUUCGGGGUCGAGCUCAUUUGCCGUGUUCUGCGGGCAGCAAUCGCCG